CUCUUCUCCAGUUAAUGCUACAGGACGCUGGGAGAACUCCCCCUUAGACAAGAGCUGCAGACUGAAGAGGAAGCAAGUCCAGACCUGUCCAGAAUUUCCCGUUGCCCUCAGUGGAAAGAGAGUAAGACAGAGAGCGAGAGAGUGCAAGAGAGAGUGACUCCCACACAAUGCGGACCCUCAUCCUCCUCACGCUCCUGGCUGUUUUGAUGGUGGCAGCUUUCUGCUAUGAGUCCCACGAGAGUAUGGAAUCCCAUGAGUUUGUCAGUAAGAGACAAU
Long non-coding RNA from Terrapene triunguis (Three-toed box turtle), 276 nucleotides. RefSeq lists it as uncharacterized. Lineage: Eukaryota; Metazoa; Chordata; Testudines; Emydidae. The record is from RefSeq and is a predicted model, not a curated record. The transcript has 3 exons.